This 805-nucleotide ribosomal RNA is filed under the name Salmonella enterica subsp. enterica serovar Agona. RNAcentral describes it as "partial 23S ribosomal RNA". It matches the Rfam family "Bacterial large subunit ribosomal RNA", at positions 742 to 1547 of the family's 2925-position model. Lineage: Bacteria; Pseudomonadati; Pseudomonadota; Gammaproteobacteria; Enterobacterales; Enterobacteriaceae. The record is from RNAcentral.
AGGUUGAAGGUUGGGUAACACUAACUGGAGGACCGAACCGACUAAUGUUGAAAAAUUAGCGGAUGACCUGUGGCUGGGGGUGAAAGGCCAAUCAAACCGGGAGAUAGCUGGUUCUCCCCGAAAGCUAUUUAGGUAGCGCCUCGUGAAUUCAUCUCCGGGGGUAGAGCACUGUUUCGGCUAGGGGGCCAUCCCGGCUUACCAACCCGAUGCAAACUGCGAAUACCGGAGAAUGUUAUCACGGGAGACACACGGCGGGUGCUAACGUCCGUCGUGAAGAGGGAAACAACCCAGACCGCCAGCUAAGGUCCCAAAGUCAUGGUUAAGUGGGAAACGAUGUGGGAAGGCCCAGACAGCCAGGAUGUUGGCUUAGAAGCAGCCAUCAUUUAAAGAAAGCGUAAUAGCUCACUGGUCGAGUCGGCCUGCGCGGAAGAUGUAACGGGGCUAAACCAUGCACCGAAGCUGCGGCAGCGACACUCAGGUGUUGUUGGGUAGGGGAGCGUUCUGUAAGCCUGCGAAGGUGGCCUGUGAGGGUUGCUGGAGGUAUCAGAAGUGCGAAUGCUGACAUAAGUAACGAUAAAGCGGGUGAAAAGCCCGCUCGCCGGAAGACCAAGGGUUCCUGUCCAACGUUAAUCGGGGCAGGGUGAGUCGACCCCUAAGGCGAGGCCGAAAGGCGUAGUCGAUGGGAAACGGGUUAAUAUUCCCGUACUUGGUGUUACUGCGAAGGGGGGACGGAGAAGGCUAUGUUGGCCGGGCGACGGUUGUCCCGGUUUAAGCGUGUAGGUGUGUGUUCCAGGUAAAUCCGGUU